This 869-nucleotide ribosomal RNA is filed under the name Lobaria isidiosa. RNAcentral's name for it is "partial large subunit ribosomal RNA". It matches the Rfam family "Eukaryotic large subunit ribosomal RNA", at positions 50 to 933 of the family's 3401-position model. Lineage: Eukaryota; Fungi; Ascomycota; Lecanoromycetes; Peltigerales; Lobariaceae. The record is from RNAcentral.
GCGGAGGAAAAGAAACCAACAGGGAUUGCCUCAGUAACGGCGAGUGAAGCGGCAACAGCUCAAAUUUGAAAUCUGACCCCUUCGGGGCCCGAGUUGUAAUUUGUAGAGGGUGUUUCGGGCGCGGCGCCGGUCUAAGUGCCUUGGAACAGGACGUCAUAGAGGGUGAGAAUCCCGUAUGUGACCGGCGAUCAAGCCCGUGUGAAGCCCCUUCGACGAGUCGAGUUGUUUGGGAAUGCAGCUCAAAAUGGGUGGUAAAUUCCAUCUAAAGCUAAAUAUUGGCCGGAGACCGAUAGCGGACAAGUAGAGUGAUCGAAAGAUGAAAAGCACUUUGGAAAGAGAGUCAAACAGUACGUGAAAUUGUUGAAAGGGAAGCGCUUGCAAUCAGACCGGCCCGGGGGUGAUCAGCCGCUGCUCGUCAGCUGGUGCACUCGCCCGCGAUCCGGCCAGCAUCGGUUUGGGCGGUGGGAUAAAAGCCCCGGGAAUGUAGCUUCUUUCGGGGAGUCUUAUAGCCCGGGGUGCAAUGCCGCCCGCCCGGACCGAGGACCGCGCUUCGGCUAGGAUGCUGGCGUAAUGGUUGCAAGCGACCCGUCUUGAAACACGGACCAAGGAGUCUAACAUCUAUGCGAGUGUUUGGGUGUCAAACCCAGGCGCGGAAUGAAAGUGAACGGAGGUGGGAGCCUGUCAAACGGUGCACCAUCGACCGAUCCAGAUGUCUUCGGAUGGAUUUGAGUAUGAGCAUAGCUGUUGGGACCCGAAAGAUGGUGAACUAUGCCCGGAUAGGGUGAAGCCAGAGGAAACUCUGGUGGAGGCUCGCAGCGGUUCUGACGUGCAAAUCGAUCGUCAAAUCUAGGCAUAGGGGCGAAAGACCA